RNAcentral lists this ribosomal RNA (400 nucleotides) under uncultured bacterium. Its description in RNAcentral is "bacterial SSU rRNA". It matches the Rfam family "Bacterial small subunit ribosomal RNA", at positions 356 to 773 of the family's 1533-position model. The record is from RNAcentral.
GAGGAAUAUUGGACAAUGGGCGAAAGCCUGAUCCAGCGGCGCCGCGUGAGUGAUGAAGGCCUUAGGGUUGUAAAGCUCUUUCAGUGGGGAAGAUAAUGACGGUACCCACAGAAGAAGCCCCGGCUAACUUCGUGCCAGCAGCCGCGGUAAUACGAAGGGGGCUAGCGUUACUCGGAAUUAUUGGGCGUAAAGCGUGCGCAGGCGGCUUAGUAAGUUGGAAGUGAAAGCCCAGGGCUUAACCUUGGAAUUGCUUUCAAAACUGCUAGGCUAGAGUGUCAGAGAGGAUAGCGGAAUUCCUAGUGUAGAGGUGAAAUUCGUAGAUAUUAGGAGGAACACCGGAGGCGAAAGCGGCUAUCUGGCUGAAUACUGACGCUGUUGCACGAAAGCGUGGGUAGCAAAC